Molecule: ribosomal RNA, 507 nt
Filed under: uncultured bacterium
Lineage: Bacteria
Description: bacterial SSU rRNA
Rfam family: Bacterial small subunit ribosomal RNA
Source: RNAcentral
GAUGAACGCUAGCGGCGGGCCUAAUACAUGCAAGUCGAGGGGCAUCGCGGGUAGCAAUACUUGGCGGCGACCGGCGCACGGGUGCGUAACGCGUAUGCAACCUGCCCUUAACACGGGGAUAGCCCUCCGAAAGGAGGAUUAAUACCCGAUGGUAUGUAGAGAUGACAUCGUUUUUACAUUAAAGAUUUAUCGGUUAAGGAUGGGCAUGCGUCUGAUUAGCUAGUUGGGGGGGUAACGGCCCACCAAGGCGACGAUCAGUAGGGGUUCUGAGAGGAUGAUCCCCCACCACCGGUACUGAGACACGGACCGGACUCCUACGGGAGGCAGCAGUAAGGAAUAUUGGUCAAUGGGCGGAAGCCUGAACCAGCACGCGCGUGCAGGAAGAAGGCCCUACGGGUUGUAAACUGCUUUUAUACGGAAGGAACCGCCCUCCUGCGGGGGGGUAGUGACGGUACCGUAGGAAUAAGCAUCGGCUAACUCCGUGCCAGCAGCCGCGGUAAUGUCUGU